This 465-nucleotide long non-coding RNA is filed under the name Zalophus californianus (California sea lion). RNAcentral describes it as "lncRNA (ENSZCAG00015021368.1)". Lineage: Eukaryota; Metazoa; Chordata; Mammalia; Carnivora; Otariidae. The record is from RNAcentral.
GGGAGUGUGAGCUGGGGCGAGUGUGUCCAUCCCUGUUGACCGCACUUUGACACUGACAGGAAGAAGCCGGCCGCUCGCUCCGUAGGAACCUCCUUGCCUGGGGUCCAGUUCUUCCUCUUCACUGCUGGUCAGCCCAAGUGCAGGAACAAGGAACCUGAGAGGCAGCCAGGACUCAUCAGCUGUUUCCCUUGGAAGGGAAACCAUGUUAACUUGGCAACAUCCCAGCCCAUGGACACCAAGGAGUCCUAUCUACAGUCUGCCGUGGUGCUGAAGGCCAGCGAUGAAGGGUGAUUUGUGUGGAAAAACGGGAAGACCAUGAGCAUGGAGGCAGAUGGCCUGUCUGUGCAUGCUGUUGCUGGUGCGGAUUUAGGUACCGUCUGGACCGGAGGUGUGCUUUCCUCAUCUGUAAAAUGAGACAGUAUCUCUGAGAUUGAAUUUUGAGAAUUAAAUAUUAAUUCUUUUUAC